GGCGUCUCUCGCUGCUAUACCCCAAUCUUGUAGUGUGAAUUGUUCGUUGUCAUGCUUUAUGACCUAUUGAACUGGAUUUACGAGGAGUUAACCGUAAGAUGACCAGUUUGCUGAAUUAGUUGAGCGGGAAUUUUGAGAUUACAUUCACUCGCUCAGCUGUCACGAGAGCUUCUAAACAAGCGGAGGGAGUGAGAAUCCAAUCUUGGUGUUUUUACGAAAUUUCAUGCGGAGCUGACAAUUUAUGUGAAUAUUGCCGUCCUUGGAUACCAGAGUGUCACUUCAGAUGCAAGUCUAGCGAAAAAAUCCUAGAGAUUUUAUCAGUACAACUUUUCAAAUCACUCACAUUACUGUGCUCAGAAGAUCCAAAGUUUAACGAAGUAGUACAACAUUAAUGUUGGAUUUUACUGAAGACAACUUGCCAC
Long non-coding RNA from Saccoglossus kowalevskii, 422 nucleotides. NCBI's taxonomy places the organism in Eukaryota, Metazoa, Hemichordata, Enteropneusta, Harrimaniidae. The record is from RefSeq and is a predicted model, not a curated record.